UACGGAGGGUGCGAGCGUUGUCCGGAAUCAUUGGGCGUAAAGGGCGCGUAGGUGGCCCGGUCAGUUCGUGGUGAAAGCGCGGGGCUCAACCCUGCGUCGGCCAUGAAUACUGCCGCGGCUGGAGCACUGUAGAGGCAGGCGGAAUUCCGGGUGUAGCGGUGAAAUGCGUAGAUAUCUGGAGGAACACCGGUGGCGAAGGCGGCAUCCUGGACUACUACUGACGCUGAGGAGCGAAAGCCAGGGGAGCAAACGGG
This 254-nucleotide ribosomal RNA is filed under the name uncultured bacterium. Its description in RNAcentral is "partial 16S ribosomal RNA". It matches the Rfam family "Bacterial small subunit ribosomal RNA", at positions 524 to 776 of the family's 1533-position model. The record is from RNAcentral.